UAGGGAAUCUUCCACAAUGGGCGAAAGCCUGAUGGAGCAACGCCGCGUGUGUGAUGAAGGGUUUCGGCUCGUAAACACUGUUGUAAGAGAAGAAUGACAUUGAGAGUAACUGUUCAAUGUGUGACGGUAUCUUACCAGAAAGGAACGGCUAAAUACGUGCCAG
This 163-nucleotide ribosomal RNA is filed under the name uncultured bacterium. Its description in RNAcentral is "partial 16S ribosomal RNA". It matches the Rfam family "Bacterial small subunit ribosomal RNA", at positions 355 to 511 of the family's 1533-position model. The record is from RNAcentral.